AUGUGGCGAAGACUAGGUCAAAGGGCAGAGGCGGGAUCGGGCUUCAGUGCAGCUGACAGGUGGGGCCGAGGGGCCCGCCUGGCCAGGUCAACACCCACCUGGCCGUGGCUUCUUCUUCUUCCGCUCGGGCGCUCAACCGACCGAGGCAGGGGCUGCCUCGAUGGCGAUUGCCGGCGGCUUCGGCCAUCGCAGACGACGGCCGACCCACCCAUGUGCUCGGGAGAGAGAGGAGCAUCCCGUGGUGGUCUCCGUCGCUGGCGAAGAGCACUCAAGAGGGAGCAGCAGGGGCCGCGGCGGAGGGGGCUUCGGUCUCCGGUGGGCAAGGGGUUCCGGUGA
This 336-nucleotide ribosomal RNA is filed under the name Triticum aestivum (bread wheat). RNAcentral describes it as "partial small subunit ribosomal RNA". The record is from RNAcentral. Lineage: Eukaryota; Viridiplantae; Streptophyta; Magnoliopsida; Poales; Poaceae.